AUGGCUUAGAAUAAUGUCUCACACAUUGUAUGCACAAAAUACUAAUGACAAUAAUGGUCAGAUUACCUUAUGCUCAUAGUUUUCUUUAAAGACAAUAUUAUUUUGUAUUUGUUCUUAUUAAAAUGUAUUUUCUUUCUUUUUUUUUUUUUUUAGACGAAGUCUUGCUCUCGUCCCCCAGGCUGGUGUGCAAUGCUGUGACCUCAGCUCACUGCAACCUCUGCCUCCCGGGUUCACAUGAUUCUCCUGCCUCAGCCUCCCAAGCAGCUGGGAUUACAGGUGCGUACCACUGCGCCUGGAUAAUUUUUUGUAUUUUAAGUAGAGAUGGGGUUUCACCACGUUGGCCAGGCUGGUCUUGAACUCCUGACCUCAAGUGAUCCACCCACCUCAGCCUCCCAAAGUGCUGGGAUUACCGGCAUGAGCCACCGCACCCAGCCCGUAUUUUCUGUCUUACUUAAAUAUUGAUAAAUAUAGAAGGGAGGCUUUGUUCUCCUGCUUUAUACAUUCCAAAGUCAAAUUGCAAUUUUAUUAACUUCCUUCUUAUUCAGUAAUUCAUUUGUCUCCCACAGUAAACGUAAGUAUUAACUAACACAAUUAUAGUCAUAUUCUCCAUCUUAAUAAUGCAGUAAAAUUUGUGUUAUUCAUUGACUGGGUUAUAGCCUCAUAUUUUUAUCUCAUGUUAUUUCAUGUGAAGUACCUAAGAUAUAAAUUUUUAUAAAAUACUAUGAACUAAAAAUAAAUGUCUUUUGCUUGAGCUCAGGAGUUCAAGACCAGUCUGGGCUACAUGGAAAGACCCCAUCUCUACUAAAAUUACAACAGACAGCCAGGAAUGAUGGUGUAUGCCUGUGAUCCCAGCUACCUGGGAGGCUGAGGCAGGAGGGUCCCUUGAACCAAGGAGGCAGAGGUUGCAGUGAGCCAAGAUCAUGCCACUGCACUCCAACCUGGGUGACACAGCGAAGCUUUGUCUCAAAAAAAAAAAUACAUACAUACAUAAAUGUCUUAAUAGGCAAAAAUUAUGAUAGUAAUGUUAUAGUUACAAUGUCAUAGUAAUCAAAUAAUGUAGUACCACCAUAGGAAUAGAAUUAUGUAAAUUAAAAGAAUAAAAUUGAAGGUAUAUUAAUAAACACAUUAAUUUUAGGUAAACAUAAUUUUGUCAGUCAUGCUAGGAAAUUCCAAUAGGAGAAAUUGUUCAAAACAUAAUGCUGAGAAAUCAGUUUUCAACAUGCAAAUAUAAUGGAUAUACAUACAUAUAUGUUAAAUAGAAUAGAGUAAAUGAAUAGCCAUAUAACAAGUAAAAAGAAAGUAUUAAUUAAAUUAUUUUCACAUAGAAAAGCUCAGUGUCAAAUUGCAUAAAUUCUAAAUUUCACCAAUAUUUAAUAAUACAUAGUAUAAUUUUUUCACAAAAACUUUCAGCAAUAGCAGAGAUAACAUUUUUCUAUUAAUCUAUUAGCCAGGGGUACUGUGGUACCAAAACCGUGGCUGGGCGCGGUGGCUCACGCCUGUAAUCCCUGCACUUUGGGAGGGCCAAGGUGGGCAGAUCACAAGGUCAGAAGAUCAAGACCAUCCUGGCUAACACGGUGAAACCCGUCUUUACCAAAAAUAUAAAAAAUUAACCGGGCAUUUUGGCGCGUGCCUGUCAUCCCCACUACUUGGGAGGAGAAUUGCUUGAACUAGGAAGUCAGAGGUUGCAGUGACCCAAGAUUGUGUCACUGCACUCCAGCCUGGGCGACAGAGUGAGACUCUGUCAAAAAAAAAAAAAAACAAAAAAACAGACAAAAUAAUCACACAUAAAGAACACUAUGAACCAAAAUUCCAUAUAAAUAUAGAAUUCCUGAUGAAAUUAUUAGAAAUGUUAGCAAACUAAAUCCAGCAACAUGUAAAACUGAUUGCAUACCAUGACCACGUAAUAGUUUGUCAUAAAUGCAGUGUUGGCUUAAUAUUUUAAAAAUCAACCAACAUAUUACAAAAUGUUACCUGAAGAAUAGAAAAAGGUGAUAAUUUAAAUAGACACAAAAAGUAUGACAGAUCCAGCACCCAUUCAUUAUAAAACACUCAGAAAUCUACUAGAAAGGAACUUGUUAAGACCUGCUAAAAAGCAUCUAUAAGAAAUCAAUACCUGGCCGGGCAUGGUGGCUCAUGCCUGUAAUCCCAGCACUUUGGGAGGCCAAAGUGGGCGGAUCACCAGGUCAGGAGAUCAAGACCAUCCUGGCUAACACGGUGAAACCCCAUCUCUACUAAAAAUACAAAAAAUUAGCCAGGCAUGGUGGCGGGCGCCUGUAGUCCCAGCUAUUCAGGAGGCUGAGGCAGGAGAAUGGCGCGAACCCGGGAGGCGGAGGUUGCAGUGAGCCAAGAUCAUGAAUCGCACUCCAGCCUGGGCAACAAGAGUGAAACUCUGUCUCGAAUACAUACAUACAUACAUACAUACAUACAUACAUACAUACAUAUAUAUAUAUAUAUAUACCUAUGUAGGGACCAGCCCCACAGAGUCUGUGGGUUUUUCUCUCCGUGUGCGGAGAUGAGAGAUCGUAGAAAUAAAGAUACGAGACAAAGAGAUGAAAGAAAAGACAGCUGGGCCCGGGGGACCACUACCACCAAGACGCAGAGACCGGUAGUGGCCCCGAAUGCCUGGCUGCCCUGUUAUUUAUUGGAUACAAAGCAAAAGGGGCAAGGUAAAGAGUGCGAGUCAUCUCCGGUGAUUGGUAAGGUCACGUGGGUCACGUGUCCACUGGACAGGGGGCCCUUCCCUGUUAGGUAGCCGAAGCGGAGAGAGAGAGGACAGCUUACGUCAUUAUUUCUUUUACGCUCUUUUCAGAAAGAUCAAAGACUUUAAUACUUUCACUAAUUUUGCUACUGCUGUCUAGAGGGCAGAGCCAGGUGUACAGAGUGGAACAUGAAAGUGAAACAGGAGCGUGACCGCUGAAGCACAGCAUCACAGGGAGACGGUUAGGCCUCCAGAUAACUGCGAGCAGGCCUAACUGAUGUCAGGCCCUCCACAAGAGGUGGUGGAACAGAGUCUUCUCUAAACUCCCCUGGGAAAAGGGAGAGUCCCUUUCCCGGUCUGCUAAGUAGCGGGUGCUUUUCCUUGGCACUGAUGCUACAGCUAGACCAUGGUCUGCUUGGUAAUGGGCAUCUUCCCAGACGCUGGCGUUACCGCUAGACCAAGAAGCCCUCUAGUGGCCCUGUCUGGGCAUGACAGAAGGCUCGCACUCUUGUUUUCUGGUCACUUCUCACCGUGCCCCCUUCAGCUCCUAUCUCUGUAUGGCCUGGUUUUUCCUAGGUUAUAAUUAUAGAGCAAGGAUUAUUAUAAUGUUGGAAUAAAGAGUAAUUGCUACAAACUAAUGAUUGAUAUUCAUAUAUAAUCAUAUCUAUGAUCUAUAUCUAGUAUAACUCUUGUUGUUUUAUAUAUUUUAUUACACUGGAACAGCUCGUGCCCUCAGUUUCUUGCCUCGGCACCUGGGUGGCUUGCUGCCCACAUACCUAAAUGGUUUUUAUGAUAUUAUUAUUACAUUUUGUUCUUAAUUUUCAGUAUGUUGAUUGCUGUUAUAUAAAAGAUUUAACCUUGUCUAUUAAUCUUGUAUUUUGUGACAUUAAUAAAAUUUUUUAUUAACUGAAGUAUGUUUUUGGUAAAUUUAUCAUAGUUUUUAACCCAAUAUUAUGGCAAGAUAAUAGUAUCCUACUUCUUUUCUAAUCUGAAGAUUUUAUUUAUUUUUCUAGUAUACUUUUCUGGCUAAUACUUCCAGGACAGUGUAAAAACAGAGUGGAAAAAGUGUACAUUCUUGUUCCAUUUUUAAACUUACAGAUACAGCCUGCAAUCAUCUACCGUUAAGUAUACUAUUAGCUAUUGAUUUCUUUUUUUUUUUUUUUUUUUGAGACAGAGUCUUACUCUGUUGCCUAGGCUGGAGUGCAGUGGCUCAAUCUCGGCUCACUGCAACCUCUGCCUCCCGGGUUCAAGCGAUUCUCCUGCCUCAGCCUCCUGAGUAGCUGGGAUUACAGGCACACACCACCACGCCUGGCUAAUUUUUGUAUUUUUAGUAGAGAUGGGGUUUCACCAUGUUGGUCAGGCUGGUCUCAAACUCCUGACCUCCUGAUCUGCCCACCUCUGCCUCCCAAAGUGCUGGGAUUACAGAUGUGAGCCACCGUGCCCAGCCAGCUAUUGAUUUCUUAUAGAUGCUUUUUAGCAGGUCUUACAAGUUCCUUUCUACUAGAUUUCUGAGUGUUUUAUCAUGAACGGGUGCUGGAUUUUUUAUACUUUUUUUGCUUAUUUACAUUGACACUUUUUUCUAUUGUUCAAGUAACAUUUUGUAAUAUUUUGGUUGAUUUUAAAAAUAUUAAGCCAACACUCCAUUUGUGACAAACUAUUGCUUGGUUAUGGUAUGUAAUCAGUUUUACAUGUUGCUGGAUUUAGUGUGCCAACAUUUCUUUUUUUUUUUUUUUUGAGAUGGAGUCUUGCUCUGUCACCCAGACUGGAGUGCAGUGGCACAAUCUCGGCUCACUGCAACUUCUGCCUCCUGGGUUCAUGCGAUUCUCCUGCCUCAGCCUUCCAAGUAGCUGGGACUACAGGUGCGCGCCACCACGCCCAGCUAAUUUUUGUAUUUUUAGUAGAGACAAGGUUCCACCAUGUUGGCCAGGAUGGCCUUGAUCUCUUGACCUCAUGAUCCGCCUGCCUCAGCCUCCCAAAGUGCUGGAUUACAGUCAUGAGCCACCAUGCCCAGCCGUGUGCUAACAUUUCUAAUAACUUCAUCAGGAAUUCUAUAUUUAUAUGGAAUUUUAGUCCAUAGUCUUCUUUACUUGUGAUUCUUUUGUCUGGCUUUGGUAUCACAGUACCCCUAGCUAGUAAAUUAAUAGAAAAAUGUUACCUCUGCCAUUGAUGAAAGUUUAUGUGAAAAAAUUAUAUUACAUUUUUAUUAAAUGUCAGUGAAAUUCAGAAUUAAUGCAAUUUGACACUGAGCUUUUAUAUGUAAAAAUAAUUUAAUUAAUACUUUCUAUUGUUAUAUGGGUAUUCACUUACUCUCAUUUAAUAUAUAUGGAUGUAUAUUCUUCAUUUUUGCACAAUGAAAACUGAUUUCUCAGCAUUAUUUGUUGAACAAACUUCCUCCAUUGGAAUUUCUUGGCAUCUUUGACAGAAUUAUUUUUACCUCAAAUUAAUACCUUCAACUUUAUUCUUUUAAUCUACACAAAUCAAUUCCUAUGGUAGUACUAUAUUCUUUGAUUACCAUAACAUUAUAACUAUAGCAUUACUAUCAUAAUCUUUGCCUAUCAAGAGUUUUUUUUGUUUUUUUUUUAGACAGUGUCUUGCUCUUAUCGCCCAGACUGGAGUGCAUUGGCGCGAUUUCGGCUCACUGCAACCUCUGCCUCAUAGGUUCAAGUGAUUCUCCUGCCUCAGCCUCCCAAGUAGCUGGGAUUACAAGUGCCCACCACCACACCCAGCUAAUUUUUGUAUUUUUAGUAGAGACGGGGUAUCGCCAUGUUGGCCAGGCUGGUCUCAAGCUCCUGACCUCAGGUGAUGUGCCCGCUUUGGCCUCCCAAAGUGCUGGGAUUACAGGCGUGAACCACCAUGCCCAUCUGGACAUUUAUUUUUUUAUUUUUUGAGACACCGUCUUGCUCUGUCAACCAGUCUGCAGUGCAGUGUGAUGAUCUUGGCUCACUCCAACCUCUGCCUCAUGGGUUCAAGGGAUCCUCCUGCCUCAGCCUCCUGAGUAGCAGGGACCACAGGCAUGCACCACCACAUAUGACUGACUUUUGUAGUUUUGGUAGAGAUGGGGUCUUGCCAUGUAGCCCAGGCGGGUCUUGAACUCCUGAGCUCAAGCAAAAGACAUUUUUUAAUUUUAUACUAGUUUACAAAAGUUUAUAUCCUAGAUACUUGACAUGAAAUAAUAUGAAAUAAAAAUAUAAAAUAGGCUGGGCGCAGUGGCUCACGCCUAUAAUCCUAGCACUUUGGGAGGCUGAGGCUGGAGGAUCACCAUAUCAGGAGAUCAGUACCAUCCUGGCCAAUAUGGUGAAACCCCGUCUCUACUAAAAAUACAAAAGUUAGUUGGGCGUGGUGGCGGGUGCCUGUAAUCCCAGCUACUCAGGAGGCUGAGGCAGGAGAAUUGCUUGAACCAGGGAGGAGGAGGUUGCAGUGAGCCAAGAUCAUGCCACUGCACUCCAGCCUGGGCUGUAACUUAAUCAAUAAAUAACACAAAUUUUACUCCAUUAUUAAGAUGGAGAAUAUGACUAUAAUUGUGUUAGUUAAUACUUAUGUUUACUGUGGGAGACAAAUUAGUUACUGAGUAGUUAACUGAGUAGUUAGAAGUUAAUAACAUUGCAAUUUGACUUUCGAAUGUAUAAAGCUGGCAAACGAAGCCUCCCUUCUAUAUUUAUCAACAUUUAAGUAAGACAAAAUGAAUUUUAAUAAGAACAAAUAAAAAAUAAUUAUAUUGUAUUUAAAGAAAGCUAUGAACAAAAGAUAAUCUGACCAUCACAGUCAUUAGUAUUUCAUUCAUACAAUAUGUAAGACAAUAUUUUAAGCCAUUAAACAUUUUUAGACUUAACACCUAAGAGUUUAAAGUGAAUAUGUUAAAUAUUUAUUGAAUUAAAAACUGGUACCUUUAAAAAUUAGAUUUUAAUUGAAAUAUAAUUAUUAGGCCGGGCACAGUGGCUCACACCUGUAAUUCCAGCACUUCGGAAGGCCAAGGCAGGCAGAUCACCUGAGGUCAUGAGUUCGAAACCAAUCUGACCAAAAUGGUGAAACCCAAUCUCCACUAAACAUACAAAAAUUAGGCGGGCGUGGUGGUGUGUGCCUGUAAUCCCAGCUACUUGAGAGGCUGAGGCAGGAGAAUCACUUGAACCUGGGAGGCAGAAGCUGCAGUGAGCCAAGAUCACACCAUUGCACUCCAGUCUGGGCAACAGAGCAAGACUCCCUCUCAAACAAACAAACAAACAAACAAAAGAUUAUUCACAAAAAUGGAAGUAAAAUUUCCACAAAUGUAUAGAGCUAAAACCAGAGAAAUAAAUAUAAAUGGAACUGAGAGAAAUUGUCCUUAAAGCUGGAAAUGGAUUCUUACAAUACCUUCAACAAAAAAGGGUAAAUUAUUUUCAAAAGAAAAACAUUAAUUUGGUUAUCAAUAGGAGCUUCUUAAGUGUGUAGUUCAAGAAAAAAGAAACAUUUUUGUGUCUAAAGUUAAAAAUAAAAAUGAAAGAGUAAGAGACUUGACUUGGGAGCUGACAUGUUCUUUUCUCAAGGUUAUCAGUACCCGGCAGCCUUUCAACUACAAACAACAUUCUAGAGUUGACAAAAUAUUUGUAUAUCCCAUCUCUUCUCUGAUCUUUAUAUGCUGUUUGGCUGUGCAAAAUAGAGGCUAAAGUCCCAUUUUGCAGAUGAAAAAGCUGAGGCUCGGAAAGACAAACAUCACACACAAAGUUUGGGUCACAACUGGCAUUAGAACACAGGACUCUCAAACCAGUGCUUUCCCAUCACUAAACCACUCCUAGGGCUAAGAAUACAUUAAGACUCCAAAAGAUAGAGAAUUGCUCAAUGCAUUCCACCAAGAUUAGACCUGACCCACCCCAGAAAGCUAAGCCGCUCUGGGGCCCUGGGGUGGAAAACUCAAGAAAAAGAAUGAUGCCUACAUUCACACAUCUGAGCUCCAAUCCAAACUCGGCCAGUCAGUUAUAGAACCUCAUUUGCUGAGCCUCAGCUUUUUCUGAUAUAAAAUGGAACUACAGAAGGCUCCAAAAAGAUCAGGAUAAGGGCAGAACUGCACUCUAAAUGCAGGAGUGCCUGGCAGGUGGAAACCACUCACUGACUUUUAGUUUAAGCACAUAAGUAAUAUGUUGUGUUUCACUGUGUCUCCUCCAUGGUGUCUGUUUCAUGGCUCCAGAUCCUGGGGGCUUCUGAUCAAUCCUUCUGCUAAGUGAUGGACGAAUAGAUGAAUGGAUGGGUGGUUGAAAGGGUGGAUGAAAUGAUGCAUAGAUGGAUGAAUGCUCAGGAGGGCAGAAAGAAGUAAACACAGAGUCAAAAUAAGAAUGAGGAGAUGAUUGAAGGAUGAAGAGUUGAUGCAUGAGAUAGAGACAUGGUCUCCAACCCUCCUAUCCCCACACAGCCUCACCAACACCUGCCUUGGGGUAGCAGUGGCACAUGCUUCAGAUGAUGUCCCCAGUCACCAUGACAUAGCUGCGGAAGGUGCCAUAGACCUGAGGCUAAUCAUGGCUCAUGAGAAACGUGCUAAGAGCCAGCAGAAAAAACCCAGCAGCACAAUAAAGUCGACGUUGAAACUCUUCUCAUCUGCAAUGGCUGCCUGGCCAGGCCAUAGACUAUGCACUCCUGGCAGAGGGGGUGCAUGUCAUCCAGCAUAAACACCCAGACAGGCUCACAGGGAGGGACGAAGCUCUGCGAUUGCUGCCAAUUGAGGCUUAAAGUUAAAGGGAGAACAAGACCCCCUCAGGUCCAGACCCAGUGCCUGGGCCCACAAGUUCAGAUGGCAAGAGGCAGCACACUUCAGUGAACAAUUGCACCCACCCACCCACUCACCUUCUCUCCUCACCAUCCUGCCUUCUCUGCAGGCUAAGCAGUCCUGCAGGGCAUGUAUGAAUCUGAAUGAGAGAGUAUGCAGGAAAGAGAGAAGGGAAGAUUACCAGGACUGGGCCCCAGCCAAGGAUUUGACAUCACCUUAUUUGCCUACUAUAGGGAUGAACUAGGUGGUCAAGUGGCCGUAUUAUUUCACUGUAUUAAUACAAAUACACCUUCCAGCCCUGGGAAGCAGCAUACAAUUGCCAAGAGACGUUAGAAUGCUGCUGGAGGAUUCCAGGGUCUCACAGUCUGGAUUUUAGAGUCCUGAAUUUUAGACUUUUCAAGGACAUGUGCUCCUCUGGGGUUCAGGCAUAAUAGACUAUAUUUACCGAUGGUGACUGUGUGCAUGACGCCAUAACAUGUUACACUAUUAACUCACUUAAGGGACUCCAUGAGGCAGGUACUGCUAUCUUCACUUUACAGAGGACACUGAGCACAGGCAAGUAACUUCCCCAUGGUCACACAGCUGGAAAUAGCAGAGCAGCUGGGAUGUGCACCCAGAGUCUGUGUACUUAGCCACAGUGCAAUCCUGCAUAACUACAAAACAAACUUAUGUGUGUGAGCAUCUAUCCGCCCAAGCAGACAAGUGUCAAACUACGCGAAUGCUGUCCAAGCACUGCGUGAGCAUACACUUCUCUGAAAGCGUUCUGCUCAUCAACAGGGCCAGCCAGUGACUUUUCUGAUCGCUUAAUGCACCUAUCCAGUCUCUUCACAGGCGGCUCCUGGGGUCUGCCGGGGGUGCUGGCGUCGGGUUGGCCCUGGCGCUGUCCCCAGCCCCCACUCCCCAGGCCCUGCAGCGCCAUGAGGUCGGACUCCUGGGCGUGUCCUGGGUUCUGACCCACCCGCGACGCCAGCUGCCCGCGCCCGGAGCGGAUGGGCCUGGCCCGGCUCCACCCCGCGGGGCUCCGCGGCUCAACGGGUCGCCCAGGGGCGCGGGCCCGGCUUCGUCCUCGACGGUGUCCGCCCCGGCCCUGGCUAGGCCGACGGCAGCCGGGUCCGGGUGGGGCUCGGGCUCGGGGCGCGCCC
This 9571-nucleotide long non-coding RNA is filed under the name Homo sapiens (human). RNAcentral's name for it is "HSALNT0317714". Lineage: Eukaryota; Metazoa; Chordata; Mammalia; Primates; Hominidae. The record is from RNAcentral.